ACCUCUGGGUGGCUGAAUUCAUUGUGCUCAUUUCUGCGUGACCUUUCUUCACCUCUCAGCCCCAUUCCAGCCUUCUCGGGAUGGACAGCUCUGCUGGGUGAGAAGAAAGCUCAGGCUGGCGGGGAUGGCAAAGGAGCUGCUCUCGGACCCCCAAUCCUGUGUAUGGGUAACGGGAAUGGCAGGACUGUGGUUGAGCUUUGGGAGCCCGGGAAGGAAGGAUACUGGAGCUGGGCUGAUCCAGGACAGCUUCCUGGAGGAGGCGGGAUUUAAACUGGUCAAUGAGAAUUUGCCAUUUGCUUCAAUUGGGCACCUGAAGGCAUCAGUAAUCUGGUUUCACCUCGGACCACAUUCAGGCUCCACGAAACCCUUCUGGGUGUGAGGUACAGAGCUCAGCACGCUGCUGGUCCUUAAAAAAAGAACCACAUGAGGGCAAUAAUCACGAGAGGACUGUGGUGCUAUGUGAAGAAGAAAUGAAACUCAUCCAUGAUAAUGGAGAUGAAAAUCCUAGUUCUUAGGACGGCCUCAAACUUUAGAAAACCUCACACGGACUCAGGGAGAAGAGAGGGGCUAGGUGGGUGUGCAGAGUCCCCCAGUGGCUUGUUUUCAUUGGAAUAAUAACAUCUUACAUUUCGAUGUGGUAAUGUCGCUGUUAAAACGCACUUCUCAUUGUUAGAAAUAAAAAUGACUCAAAGAUGUGAAA
RNAcentral lists this long non-coding RNA (700 nucleotides) under Homo sapiens (human). Its description in RNAcentral is "HSALNT0394263". The record is from RNAcentral. Lineage: Eukaryota; Metazoa; Chordata; Mammalia; Primates; Hominidae.